This 285-nucleotide unclassified non-coding RNA is filed under the name plant metagenome. RNAcentral's name for it is "partial contains small subunit ribosomal RNA, internal transcribed spacer 1, and 5.8S ribosomal RNA". The stretch from base 1 to 54 matches the Rfam family "Eukaryotic small subunit ribosomal RNA", at positions 1778 to 1831 of the family's 1831-position model. The record is from RNAcentral.
GGAAGUGAAAGUCGUAACAAGGUUUCCGUAGGUGAACCUGCGGAAGGAUCAUUAUUGUAUAACCGAGGUGCGAGGGCUGUCGCUGACCCGAAAGGUCGUGCACGCCCGAGUGCCCUCACACACAUCCAUCUCACCCCUAUGUGCACCACCGCGUGGGUCCCCCUUUGGCUUGUUCGGAGGGGGGCUUACGUUUUCACACAAACUUUGUAUGCAGUGUAGAAUGUAUUUUUUGUUUUUGCGAUCACCCAAUCAAUACAACUUUCAACAACGGAUCUCUUGGCUCUC